GAUGAAGAACGUAGCGAAAUGCGAUACGUAAUGUGAAUUGCAGAAUUCAGUGAAUCAUCGAAUCUUUGAACGCACAUUGCGCCCUUUGGUAUUCCUUAGGGCAUGCCUGUUCGAGCGUCAUUUGAAACCUCAAGCUCAGCUUGGUGUUGGGUGUCUGUCCCCGCCUCACCGCGGGGACUCGCCUCAAAAUCAUUGGCGGCCGGUACGUUGGCUUCGAGCGCAGCAGAAACGCGAACUCGAGGCCCGGCGGAUCGGCGACCAGAAGUCACUUCUUCACAGUUUGACCUCGGAUCAGGUAGGGAUACCCGCUGAACUUAAGCAUAUCAAUAAGCGGAGGA
Molecule: unclassified non-coding RNA, 338 nt
Filed under: soil metagenome
Description: partial contains 5.8S ribosomal RNA, internal transcribed spacer 2, and large subunit ribosomal RNA
Rfam family: 5.8S ribosomal RNA (bases 1-120)
Source: RNAcentral